This 246-nucleotide ribosomal RNA is filed under the name uncultured Actinomycetes bacterium. RNAcentral's name for it is "uncultured actinobacterium partial 16S ribosomal RNA". It matches the Rfam family "Bacterial small subunit ribosomal RNA", at positions 28 to 276 of the family's 1533-position model. The record is from RNAcentral. Lineage: Bacteria; Bacillati; Actinomycetota; Actinomycetes.
GACGAACGCUGGCGGCGUGCUUAACGCAUGCAAGUCGAGCGGUAAGGCCCUUUCGGGGGUACACGAGCGGCGAACGGGUGAGUAACACGUGGGUGACCUGCCCUCAGCUCUGGGAUAAGCCUGGGAAACCGGGUCUAAUACCGGAUAUGACUCCAUGACGCAUGUUGUGGGGUGGAAAGCCUUGUGCGGCUGAGGAUGGCCCGCGGCCUAUCAGCUUGUUGGUGGGGUGAUGGCCUACCAAGGCGA